Long non-coding RNA from Mauremys reevesii (Reeves's turtle), 151 nucleotides. RefSeq lists it as uncharacterized. Lineage: Eukaryota; Metazoa; Chordata; Testudines; Geoemydidae. The transcript has 3 exons. The record is from RefSeq and is a predicted model, not a curated record.
GAAGAAAUAAUUGUAUGCUCGACCUUUUCUGGAGGAAAUCUUUGGCAGUUGCUAGAAGGUCCCGUUCCUGCAAACACAUUGAAAUCAUUGGGGCUACUUGUGGUAGGAGAGCGAAACACACGCAUUAGGAAUUUAAAAAGAAGGAGACGAA